RNAcentral lists this ribosomal RNA (537 nucleotides) under Seonamhaeicola maritimus. RNAcentral describes it as "partial 23S ribosomal RNA". It matches the Rfam family "Bacterial large subunit ribosomal RNA", at positions 1 to 552 of the family's 2925-position model. The record is from RNAcentral. Lineage: Bacteria; Pseudomonadati; Bacteroidota; Flavobacteriia; Flavobacteriales; Flavobacteriaceae.
GUACAAUAAGCUAAGUAAGGGCGUAUGGGGAAUGCCUAGGCUCUCAGAGGCGAAGAAGGACGUGAUAAGCUGCGAAAAGCUGUGGGGAGUGGCACAUACACUUUGAUCCGCAGAUAUCCGAAUGGGGCAACCCACUAUAUUGAAGAUAUAGUAUCCGUAAGGAGGCGAACCCGGAGAACUGAAACAUCUAAGUACCCGGAGGAGAAGAAAACAAAAGUGAUUCCGUUAGUAGUGGCGAGCGAACGCGGAUUAGCCCAAACCAGUGUUGUUACGGCAAUACUGGGGUUGUAGGACUACAAUAUUCGACACUAAGUGAACUAGAAUUGUUUGGAAAGACAAACCAUAGAGAGUGAUAGUCUCGUAAAGGUAAGCGAAGUUUAGAUAGUAGUAUCCUGAGUAGUGCGGGACACGAGUAAUCCUGUAUGAAUCUGGCGGGACCAUCCGUUAAGGCUAAAUACUCCUGAGAGACCGAUAGUGAACUAGUACCGUGAGGGAAAGGUGAAAAGAACCCUGAAUAAGGGAGUGAAAUAGAACCUG